Sapajus apella (tufted capuchin) is the source of this 1648-nucleotide long non-coding RNA. RefSeq lists it as uncharacterized. Lineage: Eukaryota; Metazoa; Chordata; Mammalia; Primates; Cebidae. The record is from RefSeq and is a predicted model, not a curated record. The transcript has 2 exons.
UCUGUUUGUUGAUUACCUGUACCAGUACAGCACUGUUUUGAGAAGUCCCAGUAUCCGAUGGGCCCAGUCUCUCUAUAAAUGUCUUGGCUGUUCUUGGCCCUUUGUUCUUCUGUUAUGAAUUUAGAAUCAGCUUGCAGAGAGUGAAACACUCAAAUGGAACGGGGUUUUUAUUGGAUGGUGUUGAAUUUGUACAUCAAUUUGGGGGGAAUUAAUAUCUUCAUAGUAUGUCAUCUUUCUGUUGAAGAACAUUGUAUAACUCUUCAUUUUAGUUCCUUUUCAAUGUCAAGUUUUAUAUUUUCCUUCAUAAAGGACAUUGAUAACUUGCCUCAGUUCUGAUGCUCUAAAUUUUGAUGCUGUGUGGGAAGUUUUAAAAAUACUACUUAAACUUUGUAUGGAAAUGCAAAUAACUGCAUAUUGAUUUUGUAUCUAGCAACCUUGCUAAAAUUAGUUAUUUUUUAAAUCACAUAAUUUUUCUUCAUAGAUUUUUGGUUUCUAUAUAUCUAUUACAAAUGAUUCUUUUUUUCCAAUCUUUACAUUUUUGCUUUUUAAAAUCUGAUUAUCAGCGAAUUCUAAUUUGCUAAGACUUUAUCAUACAUACAUGAAUAUUGAAUUUUAUGAAUGGUUUUCCCACAUCUGUUGAGAUUUUACUUUUUUUCCAUAAAUCUGCUGAUGUGAUUAAUUACAUUAAUAAUUUUCCUGAAAUUAACACAAACUUGUAUUCCUGGGAUAAACUUUUUUACCUAGACAUAUUAAUGUUUUUAUACAUUGCUGGGUUCAGUGUGCUAAAAUAUUAUUAGGAAAUCUAUGUUAAUGAAUGAGUUUGACCUGAAAAUUCUUUUCUGAAACUGUUGUUUUCUAAUUUAACUAUUAAUAUUAUCCUAGCCUGAUAAAAUAAGCAAAGAAAUGUACCCACUUUUUUUUUUUUUUUUUUUUUUUUUUUUUUUUUUUGCAAACUUUUGAAUAGUUUAAGAACAAGAUUAUGUGUCUAUUUGGUAGUAUGUACCUAUAAUGUCAUCCAUAUCAUGUGGGCCUAGUGUUUUUAUUGUGGGAAGAUUAUUUAAUAACCGAUUAGAUUUUCUUGAUGGUCUGUAGCUAUUUGAUUUUCUGUCUCUUCUAGAGUCAUUUUUGGUAAGUUGAGGUCUUCUAGGAAUUUAUUCGUUUUGCCAAAAUUCAAAUUUAUUACCAUAAAAUUGUUCAUAUUAUUAUUUUGUUAAUGGUCUAAUCUCUGCAGCAUCUCUACUUAGGCCACAUUUUUCCAUUUCUAGUAUUGUUUGUGUCUUUUAAUUUUGGCAGAACUUUAAUCAUUAAUAAAAUCAUUCAGAUUUUAUUAAUCUUAAUGGAUAUUUUCAAAGAAUCAAUUUCUAGAUUUGUUUAUCCUUUCUAUGCUUUGAUUCUGGAUUCCAUUGAUGUUGCUCUUGUGAUUUUCUUCCUUAUACUUUCUUUAGAUCUAUUUUUAAUUUUUUAUAAUUUCAAAAGGAGUUGACAGAAAUUGAAUUUAUUGAAUUUGAUAGUUUAUUCUUGGAAUAUUUAAGUGUCACUUAUCUCUUGCAACAUCUUAAAAGUUUAUAUUUGAUUUAUUAAUGAAUUAGUGAUAUAUUCUUUUUCUAAAUGCCAUUGAUGACCUUUAACAUGAGAACAAAUUUUAAAA